AUGAGCAAGCCACGGAAGAAACGCAAGGAUCUGGAUGAACAUUGCUACUGGAACCACACAGACGAGCAAGAUAAGCGUUUCUUCAAGGUUAUGAUUGGCGACUUCCAUGAGAGAAUGAUCAUACCAGAUAGGUUUGUCCAACAUUUCAGGGGGCAAACAGGACGAACUAUUAAGCUAGUAUCACGCCAUGGUUAUACUUUUGAUGUUCAGAUUACCAAGAAUUUGGAGAAACUAGUCCUUGAUUCGGGAUGGAAGGCGUUUGCUCGUGCCCAUAAUUUGAGAACGGGGGACUUUCUUGUGUUCAAGUAUGAUGGCAACUCUGAACUGAAGGUUUUGAUCUUUGGUCCGAGCGGUUGCGAGAAAAUUCCGGUGUGCAAUCUCAAGAAAAAUGCUGCUCCUGGUAAAGAAUGGUGGGGAAACUCUGCUGGCAUUGUAAACACUUGUCACAAUCUUCCCAUGAAAUUUCCACAUAGUGGAAGACAAAUUAGGCCAAGCAAGGAUACCUUAAGGCAGGGGAAUGACAUCAUCAAUGUCAGCUCGUCGAGCUCUGCUUCAGAUUCAGCAGGAGGUAUUUCAUCUUCAGAAGAUGAUCAUUCCCUGCCAGGUUGUAUCCUCGCAAAUGGCACCCUCUCGAAUCUAAAUCAGGUGCAGAAGAACCAACUUAAAGAAAAAAUCAGAGCUAUGAAUUCCGAAAUCCCCAUUUAUGGGUGUGCCAUAAGGAAGAGCAGUAUUUACGGAAAAACCCGCACCCUUGAAAUAUCAAGAAAAUAUGCUGAAGUAUACCUUCCAUUUGAGGAACAAAUGCUGACCCUUCAGCAUCAUGGCAAGAAGUGGGAAGUGAGAUGUAGUGUUAAGAAAAGCAAAGGCAAAAGGCUUUUGACAGGCUGGAAGCAUUUUGCGUGUGGCAACAACUUGCAGCUGGGAGAUGUCUGCCUCUUUGAGCUACUGAGAAACAAAAAGAAGUAUGCAAUGAAUGUCUAUAUCAUUCGCAAAUCCCUUUACAAGAGGAAAUGA
Molecule: ribosomal RNA, 1014 nt
Filed under: Triticum aestivum (bread wheat)
Lineage: Eukaryota; Viridiplantae; Streptophyta; Magnoliopsida; Poales; Poaceae
Description: partial small subunit ribosomal RNA
Source: RNAcentral